UCUUAGCAACCGAUUUGGUCCUAGUCCUACCUUUGGUUACUUCUAAAAUGAUACAUGCAAGUCAACCGGCACCACAGUGAGUAAUACAUUUAAUGUCCUCCACAGAAACAUUAACCCCUAUUGGUAUCAAGCUCCUAACCUCUAACCUCACAACACCUAGCCACCCACAUCUGCAGUACUAAACAUUAUACAAUAAGCUAAAGCUUGAUAUAGUUAUAGAUCCUAGAGUCGGUAAAUUAUGUGCCAGCCACCGCGGUUAUACAUAAGACUCAAACCAAGAGAAUUUCGGUAAAAAGGUGGCCAGAACAAGAAUAAUUAAGGUAGAAAUUAACUCCAGCACUAAUAAGCUCCUACAGGAUUCUAAUCACAAAAAUAAAGUUACCUUAUCCCCCCUUUAUUCGAACCACUAAAGCUCAAAAAUAAACUGGGAUUAGAUACCCCACUAUAUGAGCAGUAAAAAAACACAGCACCAGAGA
RNAcentral lists this ribosomal RNA (476 nucleotides) under Ctenophoraster sp. Mar1. Its description in RNAcentral is "partial 12S ribosomal RNA". Lineage: Eukaryota; Metazoa; Echinodermata; Asteroidea; Paxillosida; Astropectinidae. The record is from RNAcentral.